RNAcentral lists this ribosomal RNA (434 nucleotides) under Staphylococcus aureus. RNAcentral's name for it is "bacterial SSU rRNA". It matches the Rfam family "Bacterial small subunit ribosomal RNA", at positions 1099 to 1533 of the family's 1533-position model. The record is from RNAcentral. Lineage: Bacteria; Bacillati; Bacillota; Bacilli; Caryophanales; Staphylococcaceae.
CAACCCUUAAGCUUAGUUGCCAUCAUUAAGUUGGGCACUCUAAGUUGACUGCCGGUGACAAACCGGAGGAAGGUGGGGAUGACGUCAAAUCAUCAUGCCCCUUAUGAUUUGGGCUACACACGUGCUACAAUGGACAAUACAAAGGGCAGCGAAACCGCGAGGUCAAGCAAAUCCCAUAAAGUUGUUCUCAGUUCGGAUUGUAGUCUGCAACUCGACUACAUGAAGCUGGAAUCGCUAGUAAUCGUAGAUCAGCAUGCUACGGUGAAUACGUUCCCGGGUCUUGUACACACCGCCCGUCACACCACGAGAGUUUGUAACACCCGAAGCCGGUGGAGUAACCUUUUAGGAGCUAGCCGUCGAAGGUGGGACAAAUGAUUGGGGUGAAGUCGUAACAAGGUAGCCGUAUCGGAAGGUGCGGCUGGAUCACCUCCUUU